GAUAUGUGCCAAGCUCCUCCUCACGACUUUUACACAUCUGUUAACACGAAUACGAGAUCUUCCCCCCAAAUACAUGGAUUUUAUUUCAUCCAACCACCCAUCAACAAGAUACCUUUUCACAAAAUUCUUCCUAUCUGUUAUCUGAACUGCUAUUUGCUGAGAAGCCAGCGCACUCCAAUCAACCAUUCACCAAAUUGAGUGCAUUCCUCUCGAAUAGUCGCUAUUGGCUCUUCAGUGGAAUCGCAAACUUCUCCACUUAGUCAAUAAUGGUGCUUCGGUGGAAUUGCAAACUUCUUCAUUAAGAAGCGAAAAAUUUACCAACUUAGCCUCCGUUUUUUCUCGGUGUCUCAUCAAUAAAUCGACUUGUCGUCUAUUCAUCUAAGAUGAAACUGCAUCUGCUAUGCUUCAUGCCGAUCAUCUUUUUAAAGCAUUCUACUUAAUAUCUCAUCCUUUAUUGUACGUCAGGUCUGGUCUAGGUCACCCUCUCCAAGACGUGGACGAUCUUUCUCACGAUCUCGCAGUCGCAGCCGUUCUCCAGAGGUUCGCAGACGUUACUCAAGAUCUAUUUCCCCACGCUAAUAGCUUUUUUCCGAAUGCUGUUUCUGGAGGCAAGAACAACCGAAACGUUCAUGUAACCAAAUAUCAAGAUAACAUGUUAUUUUGUAAGCAUUUAAUUUUUUACUGUCUCUCAAAUUCCAGUUACCUGCGUUAAUUGUUGUGUGGAUCAAGCAAGGUUUUAUAUAUUUCCGAAUUACUUAUACUUAAUUCGAACUUCUUACUUUUUACUUCUUACUGUUUACUUUUGAAUUCUUAGUUCUAUAAAGAGGCAUCCAGCCUUCAGUCCUGUUCAUUUUAAAUUAGUCUAAUACUAUGCAGGUGAUUCUAUAGAAGUUUGAAAGAAUAGUUUACGCAAGUGUGAUUUUGAAACUGAAGGAUGUAAUUUCUGACAAAAACUUGUAUGUAUCAUCAUGUUUCUAUCAAAUGGUCUCUUACCCAGUAUAUAAUUUUUAAUCUUUUUUUUAAACUCCAUUAUAUCCUCAAGUUUUAAUCAUUAAGAAUAGUUGAAAGAAUUGUUUGUAUCAUUGACCACAAGAUUCAGAUCUUAUUUUGAAAUUCUCAAAUAUGUAGUUAUGUAAAUAGCACUACAAGACGAUUUUAAGUAGGAGCGACCAAGAUUUUAGAACCAUCCGUAAUCAAACAGGGAAUUAAAUCAAACUUCCUAGAUCUUUUUGUGUUCGAAUAUUAC
Molecule: long non-coding RNA, 1246 nt
Filed under: Bemisia tabaci
Lineage: Eukaryota; Metazoa; Arthropoda; Insecta; Hemiptera; Aleyrodidae
Description: lncRNA ENSSWEETPG004732
Source: RNAcentral